GAUGUCACUGGUCCUCUUUGAGAAAGAAGGACAAACAACAACAACAUAAUUCAUCUACCUAAGUUCUCAUCUGUUUCUCAAAGCCCAUUAGCAUCAAGUCCAUUUCAUGGUUCAGAACAUUCCUAUAUAGCUUAUCACUAACUUUGCACAUUCUGAAUAACUCAUGACGAAGAAAAAGUUUUUUAAAUUGAAAAUGGAAAAUUGCUGUAAAUAGCUUGGCUAAUUAUUACAUUUCUGCAUCCUUAACUGCCACCUCUCUGUAUUUUUAGUGCUAAUAAUCCCAAAGGACUGUUAGAAGUUCGAGAAGCUCUUGAAAAAGUACACAAAGUAGAAGAUCUUCUUCCAAUUAUGAAGGACCUGAUGUGAUCAGAGGAGUGUUGCUGGGAAGAUUACUUGGUCAGCGGUGUGAAGAAUGGAUUUAGAGAAGAAUUAGACUGGAGACUGGAAGACCAGUUAAGAGGCUUCUACAAUAGUCCAGGCAAGAGGAAGAUCUCCAUCAUGUCAUGAUCUCCAUUUCACAGUUGAGGAAACUGAGGCAGACGGAAAAGUGAGUUGCCCAGGGUCAUUCAGCUGCAGUUUAACAGUAAAACAAGAGAUGGGUUCACUGUGAAUACAAAAGUUCCCAGCCUCAAAGACCAAGGGAAGGAAUAUGAUGGAUUCACAAUUACUAUAAGAGGAGACAAGUCCGUAUGCUUUAAAAAAGUAAUUGGCAAUAUAUUAUUUUCUAUGGAAACUCAAACCACAGAAGAAAGAACACAGUUAUAUCAUGCUGAAAUAGACGCACUGUAUAAAGAUCUCAAAACUAAAGGAAAAGUAUUAAUUCUUUCAUCAGAACUUGGGGAGGCUGAUGCUGUCUGCAACCUAAUGUCAUCCUUAGUUUACUACUUCUAUAACUUAAUGCCACUCUCCAGAGGAUCCAGGUCAGUGGUAUUCCUUAAUUAUCAAAAUUGUGCCCUGUGUGUGAACUGCCUUAGCAUACAAGUAGAAAAUUAAAUAUCAAGAAAAUAAAACAUUAGCCGACAGUACUCCUUUCCUGUCCCCCAAAAGACAACUAAAUGGUCCCCAUAAAACACCAUAUCAUCAGAAAAUGCCAGUUUUUUUAAAAAAUGGGACUUAUAUUAUUGUUUGUAGAUUAGUCAGCUAGGU
RNA transcript from Vombatus ursinus (common wombat), 1146 nucleotides. It is a transcript of the gene named tetratricopeptide repeat protein 13-like, with no coding region annotated. NCBI's taxonomy places the organism in Eukaryota, Metazoa, Chordata, Mammalia, Diprotodontia, Vombatidae. The transcript has 6 exons. The record is from RefSeq and is a predicted model, not a curated record.